GGGCAACGCAAAGAGAAAGCACAAAUACUAGAGGUCUCACUGCAUCGGCCCCUGUUGCCUCCCAGAUGUUGACGAUCUUCGCCGCCGCCUCCUCUCCACAGUUUCAAGAAGGAAAUGGCACAGACGUCUCCAUCCCCGGCUCCAGGCGUGGUCUCAGAGUUCAAAGGCGUUGGCCAAGAAGGAGUUGGCUUAUGUUCCAGUGAAUGGUUGGUUGUGGUACUUCAUGGAGAUGGUUUUCUGUAAGAGGAAAUGAGAGGAGGACAGAAGGACGAUGGCGCAGAGUCUACAGAACCUGUGGGAUAACCCAGAAAAGUUCUGGGUAGGUUUCAGCCUGUGGAAAAUAUCGUAAAAAUGAAGAUGGCGUAGAGUUGUAGUGAUGUCACAGCGAUGUUUUUCUUUUAAUAACUCCACUGAUGAACGCUCUCUCCCCGGGGCUCUAGUUCUUGCUAAGUCGACUCCGAGAAUAUUAAAAAACACCAGCCUGAAGGCAGCUUGCAGGUCCAGCAAGUACAAACUUGCUUCAAAGCACAAAACAAACAGGGUUCUCUUGUUUUUAUGCUCUUGACCUCAACUUGGAUGAACAUGA
Pleuronectes platessa (European plaice) is the source of this 586-nucleotide long non-coding RNA. RefSeq lists it as uncharacterized. The transcript is spliced from 3 exons. NCBI's taxonomy places the organism in Eukaryota, Metazoa, Chordata, Actinopteri, Pleuronectiformes, Pleuronectidae. The record is from RefSeq and is a predicted model, not a curated record.